CGAGCUGACCGGGUAGCCGCGGAGGAAUCUCUGAGGAAGGUCGGGGCUCCACAGGGCAGGAUGCUAGCUAGCGGCUAGUCGAGGUGACUCGCAGGAAAGUGCAACAGAGAACAGACCGCCAGCUAUAAAAGCUGGUAAGGGUGAAACGGUGUGGUAAGAGCACACCAGCAGAGGAGGUAACUCCCCUGGCUCGGCAAACCCCAUCCGGAGCAAGGUCAAGACGAGGCAUGAGCGGCCCGCUCGUAACCUUAGGUUACAGCCUCAGGUGGACUGCAUAGAUGGAUGGCUACCCAGGUCGUAGACCGGACAGAACCCCGCCUAUAGGUCAGCUCGAACA
RNAcentral lists this RNase P RNA (337 nucleotides) under Ferrithrix thermotolerans DSM 19514. RNAcentral's name for it is "Bacterial RNase P class A". It matches the Rfam family "Bacterial RNase P class A". Rfam says of the family: Ribonuclease P (RNase P) is a ubiquitous endoribonuclease, found in archaea, bacteria and eukarya as well as chloroplasts and mitochondria. The record is from Rfam by way of RNAcentral. Lineage: Bacteria; Bacillati; Actinomycetota; Acidimicrobiia; Acidimicrobiales; Acidimicrobiaceae.